AUCUCCAGCCAUCUCCAAUCAGUUGACUAACCCAUUUCGCCUAUUCUUCAUACCCGCACACAAUCCUCUCUUUGAUUCGGCAAUCCGUUCGCUGAAGAACGAAUUCUUUUGUUGCAGUUUGGAGUUGGAAAUUAAUUUCUUGCUUUUGUUUUCUAAUUAGUGGUGUCGCCUAUGCCAUUUGUGAAAGGCGCGGAUGAGGGCAAGGAGGUGGAGAAUGGGUGGAAGAUG
RNAcentral lists this unclassified non-coding RNA (228 nucleotides) under Hevea brasiliensis (rubber tree). Lineage: Eukaryota; Viridiplantae; Streptophyta; Magnoliopsida; Malpighiales; Euphorbiaceae. The record is from RNAcentral.